GAUGAACGCUGGCGGCGUGCCUAAUACAUGCAAGUCGAGCGAACAGACAAGGAGCUUGCUCCUUUGACGUUAGCGGCGGACGGGUGAGUAACACGUGGGUAACCUACCUAUAAGACUGGGAUAACUUCGGGAAACCGGAGCUAAUACCGGAUAAUAUUUCGAACCGCAUGGUUCGAUAGUGAAAGAUGGUUUUGCUAUCACUUAUAGAUGGACCCGCGCCGUAUUAGCUAGUUGGUAAGGUAACGGCUUACCAAGGCGACGAUACGUAGCCGACCUGAGAGGGUGAUCGGCCACACUGGAACUGAGACACGGUCCAGACUCCUACGGGAGGCAGCAGUAGGGAAUCUUCCGCAAUGGGCGAAAGCCUGACGGAGCAACGCCGCGUGAGUGAUGAAGGUCUUCGGAUCGUAAAACUCUGUUAUUAGGGAAGAACAUACAUGUAAGUAACUAUGCGCGUCUUGACGGUACCUAAUCAGAAAGCCACGGCUAACUACGUGCCAGCAGCCGCGGUAAUACGUAGGUGGCAAGCGUUAUCCGGAAUUAUUGGGCGUAAAGCGCGCGUAGGCGAUUUUUUAAGUCUGAUGUGAAAGCCCACGGCUCAACCGUGGAGGGUCAUUGGAAACUGGAAAACUUGAGUGCAGAAGAGGAAAGUGGAAUUCCAUGUGUAGCGGUGAAAUGCGCAGAGAUAUGGAGGAACACCAGUGGCGAAGGCGACUUUCUGGUCUGUAACUGACGCUGAUGUGCGAAAGCGUGGGGAUCAAACAGGAUUAGAUACCCUGGUAGUCCACGCCGUAAACGAUGAGUGCUAAGUGUUAGGGGGUUUCCGCCCCUUAGUGCUGCAGCUAACGCAUUAAGCACUCCGCCUGGGGAGUACGACCGCAAGGUUGAAACUCAAAGGAAUUGACGGGGACCCGCACAAGCGGUGGAGCAUGUGGUUUAAUUCGAAGCAACGCGAAGAACCUUACCAAAUCUUGACAUCCUUUGACAACUCUAGAGAUAGAGCCUUCCCCUUCGGGGGACAAAGUGACAGGUGGUGCAUGGUUGUCGUCAGCUCGUGUCGUGAGAUGUUGGGUUAAGUCCCGCAACGAGCGCAACCCUUAAGCUUAGUUGCCAUCAUUAAGUUGGGCACUCUAAGUUGACUGCCGGUGACAAACCGGAGGAAGGUGGGGAUGACGUCAAAUCAUCAUGCCCCUUAUGAUUUGGGCUACACACGUGCUACAAUGGACAAUACAAAGGGCAGCGAAACCGCGAGGUCAAGCAAAUCCCAUAAAGUUGUUCUCAGUUCGGAUUGUAGUCUGCAACUCGACUACAUGAAGCUGGAAUCGCUAGUAAUCGUAGAUCAGCAUGCUACGGUGAAUACGUUCCCGGGUCU
This 1372-nucleotide ribosomal RNA is filed under the name uncultured bacterium. RNAcentral's name for it is "bacterial SSU rRNA". It matches the Rfam family "Bacterial small subunit ribosomal RNA", at positions 28 to 1381 of the family's 1533-position model. The record is from RNAcentral.